GGAACAAGGACUCAGACCCCUUCCUAGCCCAGAGCGUUAGCUCUACCCACUCUUUGCUGGCCUUGGGUCUUGCUCCUCCCAGCAGAUUUGGGUGUUCCCUCCACAGUGCUCCCCAAGGGCCUUACACAGACCACUGUGAAAGCAUGUACCAGAAUCUGUUGUCACAAAAUAUCCAGGGUUUUGGAGACCAGGGACCUCGUGUCAUGUCUCCGGACCUACGGCUCCUUCUGUAAGCCUGGCUCAGAGAAGGCACCAGGAAAUGUUGGAAAAAGGCAGGAGAAGAGGGAGGGGGGCAGAGGAAAGAGGGAUGGAGGAGCAGCAGGGGAUGGCAGGGGCCUCCACUGUGAGGGGUCCCCCAAGACAGCCUGUCAUUACAGCUGAGUCAGAAGGAACUAUGACCUGGUUGACUGUGAGCAGGAGGUGUCUGAAUAUGGCUUCAUAACAAUCAUGGUAAUAUAGAGUUCACAAAUACACUCUGCUUUAUCCGA
Molecule: long non-coding RNA, 488 nt
Filed under: Pongo abelii (Sumatran orangutan)
Lineage: Eukaryota; Metazoa; Chordata; Mammalia; Primates; Hominidae
Description: lincRNA
Source: RNAcentral